AUCCAGCUGACGGAUCCUAAAUAGGACGAAAUGCACUUCAUCCUGGAU
RNAcentral lists this non-coding RNA (48 nucleotides) under Trichobilharzia regenti. Lineage: Eukaryota; Metazoa; Platyhelminthes; Trematoda; Strigeidida; Schistosomatidae. The record is from RNAcentral.